AAACGACUCUCGGCAACGGAUAUCUCGGCUCUCGCAUCGAUGAAGAACGUAGCGAAAUGCGAUACUUGGUGUGAAUUGCAGAAUCCCGUGAACCAUCGAGUCUUUGAACGCAAGUUGCGCCCCAAGCCUUCCGGCCGAGGGCACGUCUGCCUGGGCGUCACAAAUCGUCGUC
Molecule: ribosomal RNA, 172 nt
Filed under: Arabidopsis arenosa
Lineage: Eukaryota; Viridiplantae; Streptophyta; Magnoliopsida; Brassicales; Brassicaceae
Description: 5.8S ribosomal RNA
Rfam family: 5.8S ribosomal RNA
About the family: 5.8S ribosomal RNA (5.8S rRNA) is a component of the large subunit of the eukaryotic ribosome. It is transcribed by RNA polymerase I as part of the 45S precursor that also contains 18S and 28S rRNA. Functionally, it is thought that 5.8S rRNA may be involved in ribosome translocation.
Source: RNAcentral